AACUCCAGCAGCGCGGUCGCCGAGGCAAAAUCUGUACUCGGGAGCAAAAUCUGUACUCGGGGGCAAAAUCCACAUUCGGAAGCAGAAUCCACACUGGGGGACAAAGGCAGUAAGUGGAAGGGACGCGCUCCGAGGGCUGCGGGGAGAUCAGCCUUACCUGCCAUCCCGCUCCGAUCUCCGCGCCCCGCUCCGCCGCUCCCGCCCCGGCAGCUGCUGCUCCGGACUAAAGCUGAUCUCCGGAAGGAUGUGGUUCACCGGCAACUUCUCUUCUGAAAUACGACGGCUUUCAGAUCCCUACAGUUGAAUGGGGUUAAAUGGGGGUACCCGGUGUGGCCUCCCUCGGUACAAAGGCGGGGCUCUUUUGUUGGAAGGGUUUCCAGAAAUUGUAUGCUGAACCUUCCAGAUGUAGGGCCAGUUCUGGAUGGAAGGGGGUUCAAGCAAAAAGAGAAAGUGGGAGUGGUUGGGAAAAGCCCGGUGGAGAUCAAGAAUAAGUGCUCCAGCCUUAAUUUUGGUCCCUGGUCCUCAGCAAUGUGUGCAGGUGGAGCUGGGUGUGGAGGCAUCCCCAGGAAGUGUGUGACUGAGCCCAGACCCAGCACAGGGCUUCUUGGCAGGGAGCCUUCCUCCAGCCCAGCUCCAGCAGGCACAGCCACCCCAGGAGCAGGGCUGGAGUGCCCCAAUGGACACACAAAGGACUGCUCUCACCACUGCCAUGUUCCUUCUUGCCCAAACCAGCCCCGUGCUACGAGGACAAGGAGGGGUCCAAGAGAGGUGAAAAUCAACAAAGUGUAGAACAAGCUCCAGGGACGAAUCAAGCCUCCCACCAUAAAAGAGCUGUAGGUUUCACCCUGGACCCAAAAUCAUAGAAUCACAGAAUUAAACAUUUGAGUUGGAAGGGACCCUUAGAGGCCACCCAGUCCAACUCCCCUGCAAUGAAAAGGGACACCCACAGCUCUACCAAGGUGCUCAGAGCCUCUCCAGCCUGAACUUGGAUGUCUCCAGGGAUGGGGCAUCCACCACCUGCAUGACCCAAACCUUUCUGUUUCUCCUGCAGGGGCUGGUGGAGGCACUUCCUCUGGUCCCCACCAUGUCCUUUUCAGAGUUGAGCACAACCCCAUCUAAGACAAGUUUAGAGACUCACUCCCAACA
Molecule: long non-coding RNA, 1146 nt
Organism: Tympanuchus pallidicinctus (lesser prairie-chicken)
Lineage: Eukaryota; Metazoa; Chordata; Aves; Galliformes; Phasianidae
Exons: 2
Source: RefSeq, a predicted model, not a curated record